This 27-nucleotide small RNA is filed under the name Bombyx mori (domestic silkworm). RNAcentral describes it as "ovarian small RNA-34740". Lineage: Eukaryota; Metazoa; Arthropoda; Insecta; Lepidoptera; Bombycidae. The record is from RNAcentral.
UGGCACGAUGUUUCGCAGAGUGAGAGC